GGCAUCUCCCCUCCCCCUUGAAAAUUAUAAUUAUCCUGAAAAUAAGAAUUCAGAUUAUUGCAUAGUUGUUCUGCCUCAUCUUCUUCUUCCUUGUUGGUGAGCUGAAGUAUGACCGCUAUGAUGUGGCUCCUGAUUUCUUCUUCUUCACUAAACGUUUCCUCGUCAUUUGCAUUGUAGUGAAGAUGGCUUGAGGUUGAUGCGGC
RNAcentral lists this long non-coding RNA (203 nucleotides) under Musa acuminata (dwarf banana). RNAcentral's name for it is "long non-coding RNA (MACU_LNC009508)". Lineage: Eukaryota; Viridiplantae; Streptophyta; Magnoliopsida; Zingiberales; Musaceae. The record is from RNAcentral.